CAGCAGCCGCGGUAAUACGUAGGGGGCGAGCGUUGUCCGGAUUUAUUGGGCGUAAAGAGCUCGUAGGCGGUUGCGGAAGUCGGAUGUGAAAUACCGGGGCUCAACUCCGGGGCGCCAUUCGAUACUCCGCUGACUCGAGUCCGGUAGGGGAAGGUGGAAUUCCUGGUGUAGCGGUGAAAUGCACAGAUAUCAGGAGGAACACCGGUGGCGAAGGCGGCCUUCUGGGCCGGUACUGACGCUGAGGAGCGAAAGCUAGGGGAGCGAACAGGAUUAGAUACCCUGGUAGUCCUC
Molecule: ribosomal RNA, 291 nt
Filed under: uncultured soil archaeon
Lineage: Archaea
Also listed under: 1 other name
Description: partial 16S ribosomal RNA
Rfam family: Bacterial small subunit ribosomal RNA
Source: RNAcentral